This is a long non-coding RNA of Macaca mulatta (Rhesus monkey), 4010 nucleotides long. RefSeq lists it as uncharacterized. The record is from RefSeq and is a predicted model, not a curated record. Lineage: Eukaryota; Metazoa; Chordata; Mammalia; Primates; Cercopithecidae.
CUGACAGCUCCUCUCCAGAUAGGCAGGGAGGCAGGAGCUGCUGCAGGGGGGCCUGGGAGCUGAGCUGCUCCCCUGCCCCCCCCAACAUGAGACAGGCAGCUGUUUCAUCAAAGCAUGAGCUAAUUAGGGCUGUCUCUGCCAUCAUGUGCCUAAGGAACAUUCACCCAUGACAGGAGGGUCCAGGAAGAGAAGACGACCACUCUGAGAGAUUCACACAAACAUCAAAUGCUGCCUCCCCAAGGGGGACUGCGAGAUCUGACAUCACAUCAGCCUUUGGGAGCACUGCCAAGGAGUCCCAUCCCUCAUGGGCCCUCGGAGCAGCAGAGACAAGGCCCUCCAAAGACAGCACAAAGCUCAUCACAGCACCCCAUCAUCGCAGCCCCAGUUAAUCACCCAGGGCUGGGCCACCAAAGCCCUUCCACUUGCUGCACUGGGACCAGGGCAAAGAGAAGUCCCUUCUUCAGAAGGUAGGCUGAUGUGGGCCGGGAGCCACCCACAGCCAAGCCAGCAGCAGCCAGUCCCACCCACUCUGUCUCCCUCAGGCAGCUCUUCCCACUCCAUUUCCAGUAGGAGAGAAGAGAGCUCCAACAUGGGAUAAGUAAACCGGAGAGAAAAGAGGAAGUCUGACCUUUUGUAAAUUGCUGAAAUCGGGUUCAUAAGGCAAUAAAUUCAUGUUUUCACCCACAGCCAGGUCCGUGGGUAGGGCAGGACCACGGCCAAACCUGGGCUGUGACAGUGCGCAGCCUUGGCAGCCCUGGGUCCAUGCCCUGCCUGGCCUCUUCACAUGAUCAGCUUAAACGAGGUGCCCAUGGGACCCUGGGAACUCCGGGCCUUACCCCAGGGUUCCCACAGCUUCAGGAGUUUCCUAAAAGGCCACCCUGUGAAGUGGCCUUUUAGGGCUGCCCAGGGAAGGGGUUGCAGAAACACAGCAGAGGAAGAGGGGGAAGAUGAGGCCUGCGCCUCCAGCUGCUCCUCCGUCCAUCCAGGCAGGGCCAGUAGAGCUGAGGGUUUCCUGAGCAAUCUCCCGCCAAGGGCAGAAUCUGCUCCCAGAAACAGACCCUCUCUCCACAGGCAGCUCCGCCUUGGGCUCUAAAUGUGCACAGCCUGGGGCUGGGGGAGGCAACUACCAAAACAGCUCAGAGUGAGGCCUCUGGACAUGCAGGGGCCAGGGCCUGGAGGACCCUUGCUGGGAAUUUCAUGAGCAAUGGCUGAUGACCUUGGGCAAAUUUUCACCUAUGAGGCAGAGCUAGGACUACCCGUGUUAAAGACAGAAUAGUUAAUGAAUGCCAAAAUGCCACAGUGCUAGCCAAUGCACUGUGGCCAAAAGAUAAUUACAGCAGGUUUACUACACGAAGAAGUCAGACCACAUUCUUGAGAGCACAGCUUGAUUCAGCCCGGAUGCCUCGAGCACAUAUCACGUAUGCCAGCCCCAUCCUCCUCCAGCCUAUGGACUCCGGACCAGAGCUGCAGCCCACCCCUGGAGGGGCCAGUCCUGCUGGCUGGAAGCCCAAACCCAGAAAGCAAAAAACUAAGUGCGGCUCUGGAGUCAGAGAGACCUACGAGCAAGUCUGAGAUUCUAGUGUUUUCAGCUGCGUGACUGAGGAUUUGGAAGUCGUAUAGACUACAAAUCUCUCUGCCGCGCAACAUACAUAACAAGUCCCCAAAAUAUCCUUUGUUUGCUGAGGUUUUGCUCAGAUAUUUAAGGUUCUGACAGUUUAAAUAUGGUGAACAAUAUGGUGAACCAUCCAAAUAUUUUGCAUCAUUGGUAUUUGGAAAGAUCUUUAAGAACAAUUAGUUCUAGUUCUGAGAGGCAAGUGCAGCACCCCGGCUCCCAGUUUUCCAUGGGGGCGGAUCAACAUGGCCUCCUCAGCCAGCUCCAUUUCACACGGAGUCUCAGGCCACCCACAGCAUGGAUUUCCUGGGCCUGGUCACUUGGCUCACACUGUUACAGAGAAGGAAACUGGGCAGAUCCACUGACUCCUCAGCCAGGUGCAUGGUUCACCAGGUCUCACUGGAGGCUGAGAAAAAUACAGAGCUUCCCCUAAUGCAGGAGCAACACUGGGACGCCUGACCUUGCUCAAGGCCCUUUGACCUGACUCACCAGAUGCUCGAAUGGGAACCUAAAGGAAAGUGGAGACUUCCCAUUCUGUGGACAUCUUUAAGAACUGGAGAAAAGUUCCAAUUACUUACAGCUUCAAGGGACAGAAUGAUGGAUGGCUUCGUUUGUGAACAUGCUAUUUGUCUGAGGCUCUUUGUCCAGUCAGCUGGUUGCCAAAUACUGAUCACGCCCAGUGUGCACAGGGGCCUCAGCUAAGAGUACCAGCGCUAGAGCAAAGAAAGAACAUAGUUCCCGUCUCUAUCAGAAGAAAUUAACAGCCGACAGAGAUGCGCAGAGAGUCACUCUGAGAGAAGCCACUGGGUGCGAGGGUUGUCUGAAAAAUGGAGGAGCUGAGCAAGAGGGCAUGCUGGAAGAAUGACCUUGACAAGAUCAAAAGUUAUUAAAAUAGGAGGAGGAAGGCUAAACUUCUGUAUGUACUGCCCAACUGAAGGCAGAUGAAAACCUACUUUUUUUCCCCAAAAGAAAAUGUUAAGAAUCACCUUCCACAGACUCUUUUAACUCUAUUUCUGAUAAAUCAUUAAAAGGCCUUCUGCUGGAAUCAUUCCAAUGCUAAAGAAAAAGUUACACUCAUAAAAUAGUUAAUGUCAAAAUGUAAAUGGUUUGUUUAAGAUUCAGCAAUUGUUGCUGAAUCAAACACAAAAUCUCUAUGGCUUGAAUAGCAAGGGAAACAAAAGGCUUGACGAUUUAGUGCUCGUUAAAGCCUGUCUGGCUGAAUUUUAGAUUGCAACUUAAAAGAAAAAAACAUUAAACCAGUUCAAGUGUGAACUGACAUAUGCACAGCAGUUUUCAGCUGCCUGCAAAUGGGGCAAGGACACAGCCUGGAAUGUGACUUGCACACGCCAUGGCUGAGUAUGGACCAAUGUCCAGGGUACAAGGGCAGGGCCUGAGGGAACAAAGCCCCACAAGAAAGCGUGGGGAAGCUGAGCCCAGGGGCCCACCAGGGGCUGAGGGUGACGCUGGGAAGAGGGCCAAUCCCCAUUAGCUCUUUCCUGCAGGGAGGCUGGGGGCUUGAGAACAAUCAAAUGCUAGGCAGGGGCUCCCCUCUUGCCUGGGGAGGUGUGGAAGCAACAGCUUUUUGCUCUCCCUCCCCUUUUCUGGUCUUGCUUGUCAGACACUUGCAUGAGCCACAGUGGGACUCCUGCCCCUUCAAAUCUCAUCACAGGCCUGGUGACCCCCACAACCCUCAAGUCGGGUGUUAGAAAUAGUCCUUUGUGGUAGGUUUGUGGGGGGGUGAGCAGAAUCUUUGUCUACAUUCUCUUGCCUACUGGGAUAUAAACGCUUAAAAUUUCACCAUCUGGGAUUUACUUCUUUGAGUCUUAAAGACAAUUCUGUCUUUCAGGGUCCUCUAUUAAAAUGCCAUUGUCCCUGGGUUGGGAGGACGCUGUAUAAGUAGGGUGACCACAUAAUUUAUUGUCCAAACUGGGACACUUUUAAGAAAGAGGCACCAUUAAUUACUGCACUGGGACAAGAAGCAUAAACAGAACAUAUGGUCACUCUCUGUAUAAGUCUUUGUGUUAAGUUCUAUGGAAGAUACAAAGGUGAAUAAAGCGCUUUCAUGGCCCCGGAACCUGGACCUUGAGCUGAGGGGCAGGAGAUCCUGGGAACAGGCCAAUGCUAGGCACCCACGGAGGGAAUAACAGCACUCCAGAGGGCAGUGUCAGGGCAGCUUAGCAAAGACCAAGGGCUCUGGAGCCACACAGAUUUGACUUUGAAUCCUGGACUUCUUUCUGUACAACCCUUAAGACAGGUCAAUUAACCUGCCUCUCAUAAUUUGUGCCCCAUAAAUUAUGUGGUCACCCUACUUAUACAAAUGAGGAAGGACCCAGCUUCCUCUGUCAAAUGAGGGUUACUUCAUGAGGCUCGUGAGGAUUAAACGAGAUACUGAAUGUAA